This 735-nucleotide long non-coding RNA is filed under the name Nicotiana benthamiana. RNAcentral's name for it is "long non-coding RNA (NBEN_LNC012272)". The record is from RNAcentral. Lineage: Eukaryota; Viridiplantae; Streptophyta; Magnoliopsida; Solanales; Solanaceae.
UCAGGCUGUUAUUUAAUUAAGUGCAUGAAAUUUAAACAAUAAGUCUCAACCAAUUGAAUAUACUAUCUCCAGAUGCCAUACUCUAUCAUAUUGAAAUUCAAAACAGUCCAAAAGAAGGCUAAAACGGCCCAGAACAGUAAAAUCUUAAUUACAAUGAAUCUAUACACCAGAUCAAGGGACUACAUGUGAUAUAAUUGACUAACAAAACAAGGUCUACAGCAGAAGGCAAACAACAACUUCAUUUCAAGUUUUGAGUAGAGAAACUACAUCAUAUCAGUUUUUAAGGCGUGUACCUAAAGUUGAAAUACAAUUAAGAAGAAGGUGUCAGCAGUAGUAAUGAUCAAAGCAGUGAGAUUAAACGCAGCAACAGGAACAAUUCUAGAAUCAACACAGCUUCACAAAAACCCAGGAGUGGACUGGAGAGUUACAACACUAGCAUUUAUGCCAAAACAAAACUCAAAUAAAUCGAAGACACCCGGAAAUGAACCAGUAAACUUUAGGAAAAUCUUAGCUACUAGAAACAGCUAGAUAACUUGAAGAACCCAAAAAUAGCUUGAAACUCGAAUCCAGAAUUCUAGGGACUCAAAUUUCUUCUGAAAUUUCAAUGGAACUGUACAUGUUUUGGAUUUUUCUUUGUUGUUUCCUACUUUUUUUUGGUUUUUGAAGAUUUUUGGAAUUUGAAAUUCAAAUUUUGAUUUGAAACUUGUUGAGCAAUUUUGAGGGAAAUUUUCAGAU